This is an RNA transcript of Trichechus manatus latirostris (Florida manatee), 4350 nucleotides long. It is a transcript of the gene named ENY2 transcription and export complex 2 subunit, with no coding region annotated. The transcript has 5 exons. Lineage: Eukaryota; Metazoa; Chordata; Mammalia; Sirenia; Trichechidae. The record is from RefSeq and is a predicted model, not a curated record.
AGUGACAGAUUGAGUGGGGGGAAACGUUAGCUUAUUUCAAGUUUUAUUUUAUCGAAACUUUUCAAUGUCUUGAAUUUUUUCAAAAUCUAGUCUCUUUUGUACAUCAUUUUGUUUUUGGUUGUUUGUUCUUUGUUUUAAUUGAAAAUUAAACAUUUUCUAAGUUAGGAAUUAGUUUGGGAUUUGUUUUCAGCUAUGCCACCAACAAGCUUAUUUACAAGCUUUCUUACAAGAAAGAGCUUACUUAUCUGUUCACAGGUAAUUUAGCAGUUAGUUAAAUCUAAAUCUGGAUACAUCCUAGCAAAAGGGAAAGCACUUAGAAUCUUACCUGGCAAUGUAAUUUUUCACUAACAGUGAUCUUUUAUUGAUUUUUAAGUUGUAUGGCUUCCCCAAAAUUUUGAAUGCAGUUAAGGUGCAUAAAUUAUUAGUUCUCCGUUGUGAUGUGCAGUUAAAGUAUUUUGGGGCUUCCAAAGUCAAAGUGCCUGGAUUCAAAUCCUGCCUUCACCACUUUCUAACUCUGUGCCUCAGUUUCCUCAUCUGUAAAAUACAAGUUGUUAGUAAUACUUACGUAACAGUCGUUCUGGGAGUUAAAUGAGAUUGAAAAACUGAAAGUACUUAGCCCAGUAUCAGGCAUAUAAGUGCUUAAUAAAUGUUAUUAUUAUUAUCAUUAUCCAAAGAUUCAUUAAUAGAGGGUACAUGGGGAGAAAAUUGUAAAGUGAGUUCAUCAGUAUGACCUCUUGGGAUUCAAUAAGUAAUAUUAAGAGUAAUGAUAUUGUUAAUACAUAUUGUUGAAAUUUAGUGCCCCUUCAGUUGGUAGACAGAGUGUUAAACUUGUUAGGCUGCUUGACAAGCAGAUUUAGAAGAAAAUGCCGUGUAAGUAUUCUAUAUCUGAAAAUAAAUGUUGAUGUCCAGGUUAGCAAGAUGAACAAAGAUGCGCAGAUGAGAGCAGCAAUUAACCAAAAGUUGAUAGAAACUGGAGAGCGAGAACGCCUCAAAGAAUUGCUGAGAGCAAAAUUAAUUGAAUGUGGCUGGAAGGAUCAAUUGAAAGCACACUGUAAAGAGGUAAUUAAAGAAAAAGGACUAGAACACGUUACUGUUGAUGACUUGGUGGCUGAAAUCACUCCAAAAGGCAGAGCCCUGGUACCUGACAGUGUAAAGAAGGAGCUUCUACAAAGAAUAAGAACAUUCCUUGCUCAGCAUGCCAGCCUCUAAGAUUGAAUUAGAUUGUAUUGUUUUGUGGUUUUAUUUCUGAAAGUGAAACUUGCCAUAAAUUAGAAAUCACUAAUUUCCCAAAAUAAAAUCCUUUUUUGUAUGAUGGUAUACAGUUUUCAGUAAUGAUGUAUACAUUGUAUUGAUUUUUUUCCCUAAAUGUGUUAUUUUAAUAAAUAUCUCAUGAAUGAGUUUGAAGUUGCUUGGAUUUUGGAAUAAACAGGAUUUUGUCUUUAUUAUUAAUUCACCAGAUUAGUUGACAGAAGUCAACAAUUUUCUAGAGUUUAAGUAUAUAUUUAGUAUCUAUAAGUCUCUGUUAAAAACUGAGGAGACCACAAAGAAAUAAGCCUUUUCUGAUUGUCUGGAUAUGGUUUAUUUCUCCUUUGAAUUCCCAUAAUUCUAUAACAUUUUAAUGCCCCAUCUUGUACUACAGUCAUUUGUCUUAUUUCUUAUUUUGUUAGAAACUCUGAGGGUUAGAACUGGGUCUUACUCCUCUUAUGUGCCUUUCAUCAUGACUCAAAGAAUUUACCAUCUAGUAGAAGAGUGAACAUUUGCACAUUGGCUCCACACCAGGCUCCUCCCAUGUAUUCUACUCUGAAGUGAACUUUGAAGGCAGAAUCUUUCCGUUGCAUCCCCACAUACUAUGGUCAAGAAAGAACUGAGUGGGAAAUAACAUCUACCCAUUAGUGUUAUUCUGACAUCAAGAUUGUCAAAUCCAAUGGACUCCUGACUAUUCUUACGUGACCUCUGCUGGAAAAUGAGAAUGUCACCGUGCUGACACUUGGAACUUUCUUCCCACUCUUUGCAUUGUUUCUUCCUGCCACUACAAGUUCCUUCUGUGUCUCGUGGAGUACCUUUUCUGUAUGGGACUUAAAUAAUGGUGUUUCUAGUGCUCCCUCCUGGGCCUUCCUCCUGACUAACUGGAUAUACUUUUCCUGGAUAAAUCCCAGGAGACUUGGGUCAGACCAUGGCUUCAAACACCAGCAGGUUGACAAAAGCUAAACUGCAUCUCCAAACCAGACUUCAAUCCAGCUGUUAUGGAUCUGCUCCCUUGGAUGUCCCACAAGCACUUCAACCUGAACAUAACUAAAAUAGUGAUUUUUUCCCCCCCAACAUCUGCCACUGUUGUAUUCCUUAUCAGUGAAUGGUAUCUGCUAGACAUGCAUACAGAUUACCUGAGAAGCUUGUUAAAAUGCUGAUUCUGAAGGUAAGUAAUAUGGCACAAGAUUCUGCAUUUCUGACAAGCUUCUAGUUGAUACAUUUACUGCUGGUUGAGGAUCCCUUUAAAUAUAGAAACACUAUAAAUUAUCGACUACCUGCCUUAACUGCCUUAGUCAAACCCAGAUUGUUGCAGUAAGCUCCUAAUAUUUCCUUACUCUAGUCCCAUACCUCCUCCAUUAUCUCUUCCAUACUAUUGCCUAAAUGGCCUUACUAAAAUUCAAAUCGGGUCAUUUUGUUCUCUACUUGAAGUUUCUCAAUGGCGCUUCCUAGUUCACAGAAUAAAAUUCAAACUUGACACUUAGGCCCUUCUUUAUCUGACAUUUACUUAUAUCUAGUUAGUUUGAAAGGCCCCAAAGUAUCAGAUUGUUUCAUCCCUAAGUACCUUUGAAACUCCAACCUAGAAAGCCCUUCACGCCAGUUUAUCUAAUUCCUAUUUAACCCUUCAAAGUUCAGCUCAAGUUGCUAAAACAUUCUGACACUCCCCUGUCUAGUUUAGAUUCCCCUCUUCUGUUUUUCAUUGAGAAGCACCUGUGCCUAAUUUCUGUAGCACAGUGGUUCUCAGUCGUGCAUCUCCUGGAGAGGAUAGGAAAUGACUUUUGACUUCGUAUUCCCAAUUCAUCAUCUAAUUGCUCAGCAUUCUCUGAGAAGUAACUAUAUUUGUGGAUGAACGGGUGAGAGUAUGCAUGAAUACACCAGUGAUAAACAUGGGAGCGCAAAAAAAGUAACAGUUCGAUGUAGUUGAGGGAAGGUUUUGCAUUAAUUUUUUUGCUCACUGUUAGACACAAUUUCAUCUUUCUGCUGAAUUUAAAUUUUAAAAGUAGUGCUUGUACCCUGGGCUUAAUUGUCUAAAGCUUUGAACCUGAGGCAGACACAAUCACAAAACCUACCCAAAAGAGUUUGUUUCAAUUCACCUAAUAUAAAGGAAUGAUAGUUAUCAUUGUGCUCAUUAUCAAAAAAAAAAAAACAAUUUUACAUGAUAGGCAAUGUUAGAAAUAGGUAGUUCUUGUUUCAUGGUACUGUAUAUGGAAGCAAACCAAAAAUUGCUUCUAGAGAUGAUAUUUUAAUACCUCAAAAGAAAAUAUUAGAAAAUGAAAUAUCGAGUUGCUAAUGAAACUAUUUUAAAAUGCAACAAAGACCAGAUGGAUUGACAGUACUUCAUAGCAAUUUAAAGUAAAGAACAUAGCUUUACCUUUAAGUUUUUUUGACAUCUUGGAAAUGUCUUGGAGUUUGCAUACAGAACCAUUAAUAUCUUUCAAAUAAACCACCUUUAUGAACAUAAUGACUCACAUCUUUGAUUUACAUGAAUUAGGAAUACAUUCUUUAAAAAUCAUGCACCCUUUCAUACUCAGUGUUGAAAAUUAAAUAGAUUACUGUUACAAGACUGUGCUGGGUGAGUAAAAUACUAAUUAGGAUUACUGUAAGCUUCUCUUGUAUAGGAUUAAAGAAGAUCCAACUAAAUCAUUUAUGUAAUCACUUUGCUUUGGCAUUGCAAGUGUAUCAUUUUGUUGAGCAGUGCCAAGCCAGGGCCUGGGUGAUGAUGGAGAUUGGUAAUUGGAUAUGGAACUUUUCACAACUUGAUAAAAGUUUCCAUCCAACUCAAGAGAAUUGUGACAGCUGCCUAGUAGUUAAUGUUGGAAAUGAUCCCGUGUGUGUGUGUGCAUGUGUGUGUUUUCACCCUUCUUGAAAAUGGCUAUCUCGUAUUACUCAGUGACUUCAUAAAACCCCUUAUAUUUACCAUUAGAAUCCACACAAAAGUCAUUGGAUGAAUCUACCAAGAAAACCAACAGAGACAAAUCAGACAAUUCUGGUUCUAGUCUCAUCUGUGAUACGGAAUUAACCAGAUGGCUCUAAAAUAAUACCGAAAAUCACAGAGACAAUACCUAAAUACGGCAGCAUCAAUGGAGCAACAAGGCUGACUAUCAA